GAUUGAUUUUGGUCGCCAACGAGUGGCGGACGGGUGAGUAACACGUAGGUAACCUGCCCAGAAGCGGGGGACAACAUUUGGAAACAGAUGCUAAUACCGCAUAACANCGUUGUUCGCAUGAACAACGCUUAAAAGAUGGCUUCUCGCUAUCACUUCUGGAUGGACCUGCGGUGCAUUAGCUUGUUGGUGGGGUAANGGCCUACCAAGGCGAUGAUGCAUAGCCGAGUUGAGAGACUGAUCGGCCACAAUGGGACUGAGACACGGCCCAUACUCCUACGGGAGGCAGCAGUAGGGAAUCUUCCACAAUGGGCGCAAGCCUGAUGGAGCAACACCGCGUGAGUGAAGAAGGGUUUCGGCUCGUAAAGCUCUGUUGUUAAAGAAGAACACGUAUGAGAGUAACUGUUCAUACGUUGACGGUAUUUAACCAGAAAGUCACGGNUNCUACGUGCCAGCAGCCGCGGUAAUACA
RNAcentral lists this ribosomal RNA (468 nucleotides) under Limosilactobacillus fermentum. RNAcentral describes it as "bacterial SSU rRNA". It matches the Rfam family "Bacterial small subunit ribosomal RNA", at positions 72 to 527 of the family's 1533-position model. Lineage: Bacteria; Bacillati; Bacillota; Bacilli; Lactobacillales; Lactobacillaceae. The record is from RNAcentral.